This 520-nucleotide ribosomal RNA is filed under the name uncultured Glomus. Its description in RNAcentral is "SSU rRNA". It matches the Rfam family "Eukaryotic small subunit ribosomal RNA", at positions 569 to 1100 of the family's 1831-position model. The record is from RNAcentral. Lineage: Eukaryota; Fungi; Glomeromycota; Glomeromycetes; Glomerales; Glomeraceae.
CGCAGCCGCGGUAAUUCCAGCUCCAAUAGCGUAUAUUAAAGUUGUUGCAGUUAAAAAGCUCGUAGUUGAAUUUCGGGAUCAAGUCGUCGGUCGUGCUAGGUACGUACUGGCGUCAUUGAUUUCUCCCUUCUGACGAACCAUGAUGUCAUUAAUUUGGUGUUAUGGGAAAUCAGGACUGUUACUUUGAAAAAAUUGAGUGUUUAAAGCAGGCUCACGCUUGAAUACAUUAGCAUGGAAUAAUGAAAUAGGACGUUCGAUCCUAUUUGUGGUUUUAGGAUCAACGUAAUGAUUAAUAGGGAUAGUUGGGGGCAUUAGUAUUCAAUUGUCAGAGGUGAAAUUCUUGGAUUUAUUGGAGACUAACUACUGCGAAAGCAUUUGCCAAGGAUGUUUUCAUUAUCAAGACGAAAGUUGGGAUCGAGACGAUCAGAUACCGUGUAGUCUUAACCAUAAACUNUAGCCGACUAGGGAUCGGAUGAUGUUAAUUUUUAUGACUUCAUUCGGCGUCCUACGGGUAAAACCG